GAUGAACGCUGGCGGCGUGCCUAAUACAUGCGAGUCGAGCGAACAGACGAGGAGCUUGCUCCUCUGACGUUAGCGGCGGACGUGUGAGUAACACGUGGAUAACCUACCUAUAAGACUGGGAUAACUUCGGGAAACCGGAGCUAAUACCGGAUAAUAUAUUGAACCGCAUGGUUCAAUAGUGAAAGACGGUUUUGCUGUCACUUAUAGAUGGAUCCGCGCCGCAUUAGCUAGUUGGUAAGGUAACGGCUUACCAAGGCAACGAUGCGUAGCCGACCUGAGAGGGUGAUAGGCCACACUGGAACUGAGACACGGUCCAGACUCCUGCGGGAGGCAGCAGUAGGGAAUGUUCGGCAAUGGGCGAAAGCCUGACGGAGCAGCGCCGCGUGAAUGAUGAAGGUCUUCGGAUCGUAAAACUCUGUUAUUAGGGAAGAACAAAUGUGUAAGUAACUAUGCACGUCUUGACGGUACCUAAUCAGAAAGCCACGGCUAACUACGUG
This 497-nucleotide ribosomal RNA is filed under the name uncultured bacterium. RNAcentral's name for it is "partial 16S ribosomal RNA". It matches the Rfam family "Bacterial small subunit ribosomal RNA", at positions 28 to 507 of the family's 1533-position model. The record is from RNAcentral.